RNAcentral lists this ribosomal RNA (407 nucleotides) under uncultured bacterium. RNAcentral's name for it is "bacterial SSU rRNA". It matches the Rfam family "Bacterial small subunit ribosomal RNA", at positions 355 to 776 of the family's 1533-position model. The record is from RNAcentral.
UAGGGAAUAUUGCACAAUGGAGGAAACUCUGAUGCAGCGACGCCGCGUGAGUGAUGAAGGCCUUCGGGUUGUAAAGCUCUGUUCUCAGGGAAAAAGAAAGUGAUUGUACCUGAGGAGAAAGGACCGGCUAACUUCGUGCCAGCAGCCGCGGUAAGACGAGGGGUCCAAGCGUUGUUCGGAAUUAUUGGGCGUAAAGCGGGUGUAGGUGGAUCUAUAAGUCAGGAGUGAAAGCCCCGAGCUUAACUUGGGAAGUGCUUUUGAUACUGUAGAUCUUGAAUGUGGGAGAGGAUCGUGGAAUUCCAGGUGUAGUGGUGAAAUACGUAGAUAUCUGGAGGAACACCGGUGGCGAAGGCGGCGAUCUGGCCCAACAUUGACACUGAGACCCGAAAGCGCGGGGAUCAAACAGG